GACGAACGCUGGCGGCGUGCUUAACACAUGCAAGUCGAACGGUGAAGCUCCAGCUUGCUGGAGUGGAUCAGUGGCGAACGGGUGAGUAACACGUGAGCAACCUGCCCCUGACUCUGGAAUAAGCGCUGGAAACGGCGUCUAAUACUGGAUAUGAGAAGGGUCCGCAUGGACACUUUCUGGAAAGUUUUUCGGUUGGGGAUGGGCUCGCGGCCUAUCAGCUUGUUGGUGAGGUAAUGGCUCACCAAGGCGACGACGGGUAGCCGGCCUGAGAGGGCGACCGGCCACACUGGGACUGAGACACGGGCCAGACUCCUACGGGAGGGAGCAGGGGGGAAUAAUUCCCAAAGGGCGGAAGCCUUAUGCAGCGACGCCGGGUGGGGGAUGACGGCCUUUGGGUUGUAAACCCCUUUCAGCAGGGAAGAAGGGAAAGUGACGGUACCUGGAGAAGAAGCACCGGCUAACUACGUG
RNAcentral lists this ribosomal RNA (468 nucleotides) under uncultured bacterium. RNAcentral's name for it is "partial 16S ribosomal RNA". It matches the Rfam family "Bacterial small subunit ribosomal RNA", at positions 28 to 507 of the family's 1533-position model. The record is from RNAcentral.